CCUACGGGAGGCAGCAGUGGGGAAUAUUGGACAAUGGGCGAAAGCCUGAUCCAGCCAUGCCGCGUGUGUGAAGAAGGCCUUCGGGUUGUAAAGCACUUUCAGUGGGGAAGAAAGCCUUGGGGCUAAUACCCUCGAGGAAGGACAUCACCCACAGAAGAAGCACCGGCUAACUCCGUGCCAGCAGCCGCGGUAAUACGGAGGGUGCGAGCGUUAAUCGGAAUUACUGGGCGUAAAGCGCGCGUAGGCGGUCUGAUAAGCCGGUUGUGAAAGCCCCGGGCUCAACCUGGGAACGGCAUCCGGAACUGUCAGGCUAGAGUGCAGGAGAGGAAGGUAGAAUUCCCGGAGUAGCGGUGAAAUGCGUAGAGAUCGGGAGGAAUACCAGUGGCGAAGGCGGCCUUCUGGACUGACACUGACGCUGAGGUGCGAAAGCGUGGGUAGCAAACAGGAUUAGAUACCCGAGUAGUC
This 465-nucleotide ribosomal RNA is filed under the name Vreelandella stevensii. Its description in RNAcentral is "partial 16S ribosomal RNA". It matches the Rfam family "Bacterial small subunit ribosomal RNA", at positions 338 to 795 of the family's 1533-position model. Lineage: Bacteria; Pseudomonadati; Pseudomonadota; Gammaproteobacteria; Oceanospirillales; Halomonadaceae. The record is from RNAcentral.